This 254-nucleotide ribosomal RNA is filed under the name uncultured bacterium. Its description in RNAcentral is "partial 16S ribosomal RNA". It matches the Rfam family "Bacterial small subunit ribosomal RNA", at positions 524 to 776 of the family's 1533-position model. The record is from RNAcentral.
UACGGGGGGGGCAAGCGUUGUCCGGAAUUAUUGGGCGUAAAGAGCUCGUAGGCGGUGUGUCGCGUCGGCCGUGAAAACCUGCAGCUUAACUGUGGGCUUGCGGUCGAUACGGGCAUCACUGGAGUUCGGCAGGGGAGACUGGAAUUCCUGGUGUAGCGGUGAAAUGCGCAGAUAUCAGGAGGAACACCGGUGGCGAAGGCGGGUCUCUGGGCAGUAACUGACGCUGAGGAGCGAAAGCGUGGGGAGCGAACAGG